RNAcentral lists this long non-coding RNA (526 nucleotides) under Anas platyrhynchos platyrhynchos (common mallard). RNAcentral's name for it is "lncRNA (ENSAPLG00000029160.1)". The record is from RNAcentral. Lineage: Eukaryota; Metazoa; Chordata; Aves; Anseriformes; Anatidae.
CCCCAGCCAUUGAAAGACACUGACCCCUUCCCCUCCCCAAAGCUUAGACCAGCCAUUUCAGCUAGGCGAAAGCAAUUGUCAGGAGAAUAAACUGCAGUGUGCUGCUUCCAGACUGCCACAGCAGAGGGGGCUUGGUGUCAGGGUGAACCUAAAACGAUAACCCUGCAUCAACAGGGACAGUCAAACAGCAACAUCAUAAAUCUCCAUAUGCCUUUCAUCCCCAUACCUGGUAGCAUGCAGGUAGGAUGAAGUCUUUUCCAUCCUGUGCCGCCCUAGACUGCACCCUGCGUGUCCUCCAAGAGCAGUUCAGCUGAGGAGUCUUCUAGCUGUCACCUCUUAGGUCCUCCCAGCCACCCUGCAGCACUCCCACUACAGAGCCAGUGGCUCUGUUAGAAGACAGCUCAGUGUCUUCUCCUUGGGAAAGACCUUCUCUGAGCCUUGGCUCUCCCAUGGCUUUCAACAGGAUUCCUCAUUGCUCUUGUAUGCAAACAGGACGGGUGGAAAUUUGCUCUUGAUAUUUUGAUGA